AUUUUUUUCGAUUCUCUUUACAUUUUUAUUUUGCUUUUCACGAGCCGCUGACACGGGGGCAGCGGGCCGGCGGCGGCAACAUUUGUCGCACACAUUUUUCACAUAUUCAAAUGCGACAACAACAACAAUAACUCGAACAACAACAACAACAACAACACGAAUUCCACACGACAACGAAUCUGUGUGCGAGAGGCCAAAGACGACAACGUGCACAGGCUGAGUUUUUCGUGAGCACACAAGGCACAGAAACUCACAAAAAAAAAAAAACUCAAAUAUAAUAAAAAAUAACGGGAAAAAUGGGCCGAAAAUAAUUACGAAAAUCGACGAAGAAAACGCACUGGAAAAACUGCUGACGAUUUGCGAUUGUGUGUGGGGCAAGUGUGAAGCGUUCACCGGCGUGCGCGUUACUGAAGAUCGGCAUCGACAGCGGCAGCGGCAGCGACGGCGACGGCAGCGGCUGCUGGGGCAGCGGCGGCAACUGCGACGCCGACUGCGACGUCGACUGCGACAGCGAACGGGUACGGAACUGGCAGGCAGAGCAGGAGACGGCGACGUUUUUGAGCAAAUCCAGCGCAUAUUGCUCUGUGUGUGUGUGUGCGUGUGUGUGUGUGUCAGCCAACGUCAACGGCCAACGGCCUGAGAAACCAGCCAAAAGUGCUCCGCAGCGCGUUUAUGCGGGCCACGUUUGUGCGAUCGAGAAGAGAUCAGGAAAAUUCAAAAGAUUUGCAGGAAAUUUAUGAUAUAUUGAAAUAUUCUUGCAAUUUUUUGCUUGUUUAGUCUUGUUUGGAAAUUAAUACCCUUGUAAACAGUUGCCUUGCGAGCACGAUGAAAAUAACAUGGAAAACUCAAAUUGGGUGUCGAAGCUAUUCUUUAAUAAACAAGUGAAUGCCCAUUGGGUUAGCUUUUCGCGAUUUGCCAGCACGCACAAACGAAGGCGGGCAACGAGAACAGAUUGCGACCAGCCUUGUCCACCUGUCUCGAAUUGCAGUACAGCUGCAUUGGGGCUAAAGGCCUCGGCCUUGUCGAAACUUGACCAUAAAAUUUAAAGUGAAAUAUAUAAAAUAAUAAAUC
Long non-coding RNA from Drosophila novamexicana, 1071 nucleotides. RefSeq lists it as uncharacterized. The record is from RefSeq and is a predicted model, not a curated record. The transcript is spliced from 3 exons. NCBI's taxonomy places the organism in Eukaryota, Metazoa, Arthropoda, Insecta, Diptera, Drosophilidae.